UACGUAGGGUGCAAGCGUUAAUCGGAAUUAUUGGGCGUAAAGGGCGCGUAGGCGGCUAGAUGUGUCAAAGGUGAAAUCCCUCGGCUCAACUGAGGAACUGCCUUUGAAACUGUCUGGCUUGAGGCCGGGAGAGGGUAGCGGAAUUCCCAGUGUAGCGGUGAAAUGCGUAGAUAUUGGGAGGAACACCAGUGGCGAAGGCGGCUACCUGGACCGGUUCUGACGCUGAGGCGCGAAAGCGUGGGUAGCAAACAGG
This 253-nucleotide ribosomal RNA is filed under the name uncultured bacterium. RNAcentral describes it as "partial 16S ribosomal RNA". It matches the Rfam family "Bacterial small subunit ribosomal RNA", at positions 524 to 776 of the family's 1533-position model. The record is from RNAcentral.